Molecule: long non-coding RNA, 3627 nt
Organism: Equus asinus (donkey)
Lineage: Eukaryota; Metazoa; Chordata; Mammalia; Perissodactyla; Equidae
Source: Ensembl
AUAGUUACAGUUUUAUAGUCUUUAAUAGUCCUAUCAAUAGUUUUACACCUUUUUUCUUGGUUUGGCGCUAUAAGGAGGCAGAUCUGAUAGCCCUGGUGCUUAGAGGAAAGUGAUUCUAGGUUGGAGAUCAAGGGGGAAUGCAUGUACCCAGAAAUCAAAGGACAGUUGCUGCAGAGUUCUAUGGGUUUGAGGAUUUAGAAAAGAUAUGGCCAGAAGGAGUGGAAGCAAAAACUCAAGGUAAUUCGGCAGAGUUAAUGACCUUAUCAUGUGAGCCUUUCUGACUCCUUGUUUUUCUUUGAUUUUCUGCUUUGGAGUGAGUGUUGGGGCAUGCUCCUUUUCCAUUUCUCUGUUUGUGGAAGAAGGUUGCUCCGUGUGUGCACGCGCACACACACACAUGCAUUGAGUUCUAAGGGCUGUUUCCAGAAGUCCCGUUAUUCCCUAUGGCUGUAUGCUACCUUCUGGUGUGAUAUUGUGGAUAAUAAACUUUUCAGGCAGUUCUGCAGAGGACUGAACUUUGAUUGUGAUGUUAUCUGGUUAAGAAAGUACAAUAGUGGUUAAAGUGGUGAGCUUUGGAGAGAAAAAGGCCUUGGUUUGAAUUCCAGCUCUGCCUCUUAGAAAGUGUGUGACCCUGGACAGGAUGCUUUAUCGCCAGAUGUUAAGUCUUGACUUUCCAUUGUUUAAAAAUAGGUCUAGUGAUUUGGUAGUUCUAGGUUGGUGGUGAGGGUUAAAUAAGAAAAUGUUUAUGAAAAGUGAUUUAUUUAGCAUGUUAAUCUUCGUACUGUUUGCACUGCCUUGAGAUCUAAACAUUGCGGUUUUCUAAAGGAAACUUUUAAGUAUUGGGGUUUUAUGUUAGAGGACACCUAUAUUGGUUUUCUAUUGGUUCUGUAAUAAAUUAACAUAAACUUAAUGGCCUAAAACAUCACCAGCUUAUUAUAUUACAGUUCCACAGGGUAGAAGUUCAACACGGGUCUCACUGGGCUAAAAUCAAGGUAUCUGCGGGAGUGUCCUCUUUUCUGGAUGUUCCAGAGGAAAGUCUGUUUCUUUGCCUUUUCAGGGCUUCUAGAGGCCAUCCACACUCCUAAGCUCCAGGCUCCCUUUCCCCCCAUCUUCAAAGCCAGCAAUGGUGUGGAGUUCUUGUCACAUCCCAACUCUUUGGUAUCUUCUGCCUCCGUUUUCUGGUUGUAAGGACCCUGCGAUUACCUUGGGUCCACCUGAAUAAUCCAGGAAAUCUCCCUGUUUUUAGGUCAGCUGAUGAACAGCUGUCAUUUCAUCAGCAAUCAUAAUUCCCCUUUCUGUGUGAUGUAACAUACUCACAGGCUCCUGGGAUUAGAAUGUGGGUAUCUUUGAUUCUGCCUACCACAGCCCCUAUAGCAACACUGACAAAAUGUGUGGCCCAAGGGAAUGUACCACUUAAAGUGAAUUUGCUUUUGAGUCCUUAGAGUCAAAUGAAGUAAGGAGAAGACAGUUCCAGGACCAGGAGAGCAUCAUUUUUGGGGAUACUGUUAACUUGAAUUGUAAGAUCUAUGACCAGAAUUUCAGCGCAAUCUAGAAGGGUAAAAUCACAGAGAUCCCAGUUACUGGCCGUUUUCUCAGAAUGGAAUAAAAUGACCAAGGUCCAGGAGUAAUUAGGUUACAAGUCACUGCUCCCCACUCAUUCAUUUGAAACUUUGUGCUUGCUUGAAGAGGACAAAUGACUGAUGCAAGUUCCUCAGGAGCCUGGAGAAGGAACCCCCAUGGAACUUUGUUUCCAGUCUCUGAGGAGAGCACAUGGCUGGCUGAUGGUAGAAUCCUUGAGGGUGUGUGAUGAAGAUGAUUCUGAGACUGUGGGCAGAAACUGAAAACUGCAGCCAAAUGUUUCCUUUGCAGCAAGAAGAGAAAGACAGGAAAAAGCAAGUCCCUUCUCCAUAUUCCUUCUGCCUGCCCAUUCUCUCUAGUGCUCCAUAUUGGCAAAACCUAACAUGAAGGCAGCCAGCAAAAGAUAAUGUGGUUUGCAAUACCAGCCCCAGAAUUACAAAGCAGACAAUGGAAGAGUAGGUUGAGAGAUGGGAGACAAUAGCUGUAGUAACUAGCACAGCAACCUUCUUUAAUUGUGAGUAGCUAUGAUGCGUGCCUCCCCCAAUUUACAAAUAUUACAGUCUACUUAUAGAUGAGUGCAGAAUGAAAAUAUAUUUGUGAAUAGGAUGAUGCUUAUUCAAACAAUCCUUGAAUAUUUGUUGUGUAUAAGAAAAUAUGUUAGUAAAGUUAUUAGUCAUGAUGUGUGUGUGUGUGUGUGUUCUUCAGUAACUUUAAUGGGACAUAUGACACGAAACAUCACUAUGGUUUAUGACCCCAGAAUCUAUCACUCUAACCAUUUUUGUAUGUUUUUAUGUAGUAUAAAUAGCGUCAUGUGUUAUUUUAGGGACAAAUAUACAGUCUAAAAUCAUGUGAAUAAGUGGUAUUUCAGAUCACUGGGGAAAGGGAAGAUCCUUAAGGGGUGCUGGGAUUAUUGAUUAUUGAUCUGGAAAAAAAAUUAGAUCCCUACCUCAUGUCAUAUAUCAGGAUCCAUUCUCAAUAGAUCAAAGACCUAAAUUUGAAAGAUAAAACUUAAAGAUCACAAUUUUGGGGAGAUGACUGGAUUCUGAACAUUUCAAAAGGCCUCUUCCCACUGGCUUCCAACCCUGACUUCCUCAUAUUUCCAGUAAUUGACCCGUGGAAGUGCCCCAGUAACUGACCACAAGGACUUUCCCUUCACUGGCCUCCACGGAUCAUUCUUGACUGAUCCUCAAAAGCCUGCCGAUCCUAGACUACCAGGGACCUCCAUCCCAUUUAUUCCUCAAACCUUCCCAUCUACUGACCUACAGCCAGCCACCCUGAUGGGUGAAUAUAACAGGAAUUUCAAUCCUCAGGCUGGCAAUUGCUGUCCCUUUGUUUUCUCAGUCUCCUCACUGGUGAGCUGGAGAUUGGCACCUGAGCUAACAUCUGUGGUCAACCUUCUUCUUUUGUUUUCUUCUUCUCCCCAAAGCCCCCCAGUGCAUAGUUGUAUAUUGUAGUUGUAGGUCCUUCUGGUUGCGCUAUGUGGGACACCACCUCUGCAUGGCCUGAUGAGCAGUGCCAUGUCUGCCCAGGAUCCGAACUGGCGAAACCCUGAGCCACUGAAGCGGAGUGCAUGAACUUAACCACUUGGCCAUGGGGCUGGCCCGUGAGCUAACAUCUGUGCCAGUCUUCCUCUGCUUUUUGUAUGUGGGACACUGCUGAAGCAUGGCUUGAUGAGCAAUGCGUAGGUCUGCACCUAGGAUCCAAACUCAUGAACCCCAGGCCACUGAAGCGGAGUGCAUGAACUUAACCACUACACCACCAGGCGUCCCUUGUACAUCAGCUUUAAUUAUUAAAGUAAAGAAUGCAUUAAACAUUAUCCCAAAGUAAAGAGUGCACUCUUUGAAGAUGCGGAUGAAUGCCUUCCUUCCUAUCUUGCCAAAACCAGUACUCCUUUGAAGAUCGGUUUCACUUCCCAGACGUCAGGGUCGCGUUGACUUGUUGCAUAUGUGCUAAUCUGUAAUUAAGUGAUUAAGUAAUUUGAAGCGUUGAGAAAUAUGUAUCUUUGACAUGUUUGAUGUAUAUUCUUUGUUCUGGAAAGAUAUAAAAACUAUG